GAUGAAGAACGUAGCGAAAUGCGAUACGUAAUGUGAAUUGCAGAUUUCAGUGAAUCAUCGAAUCUUUGAACGCACAUUGCGCCCGCCAGUAUUCUGGCGGGCAUGCCUGUUCGAGCGUCAUUUCAACCAUCAAGCGCCUCGCUUGUGUUGGGGCCCUGCGGCUGCCGCAGGCCCCUAAAUCCAGUGGCGGGCUCGUCGUCGUACCGAGUGCAGUAAACAUCCCCGCUCAGGGAACCCGACGGGUGCCGGCCGUGAAACCCCCCUCCUCAAGGUUGACCUCGGAUCAGGUAGGAAUACCCGCUGAACUUAAGCAUAUCAAUAAGCGGAGGA
RNAcentral lists this unclassified non-coding RNA (330 nucleotides) under soil metagenome. Its description in RNAcentral is "partial contains 5.8S ribosomal RNA, internal transcribed spacer 2, and large subunit ribosomal RNA". The stretch from base 1 to 120 matches the Rfam family "5.8S ribosomal RNA", at positions 35 to 154 of the family's 154-position model. The record is from RNAcentral.